RNA transcript from Chelonia mydas (Green sea turtle), 6624 nucleotides. It is a transcript of the gene named tyrosine-protein kinase TXK, with no coding region annotated. The record is from RefSeq and is a predicted model, not a curated record. The transcript has 17 exons. NCBI's taxonomy places the organism in Eukaryota, Metazoa, Chordata, Testudines, Cheloniidae.
AAACCAUACCUCUUCUCUGAGCUAGGAUUUCAGUUAGAGAGAUUUUACUGUUACCGACACAACUGAAGAAGAAGGAUCAAAUUUUUAUUUGAAUACAAGCAGACAAUCAACUAUGAUUCUUUCUACCUAUCACACCAUCCAGUCUGCUUUUUGCUGCUGCUGCUGUUCGGUGCAGAAAAGAGCAGUGAGGACAAAGUUGAGCCUGGACAAUGAUGAAGACUUGAUGGCUGGAUACUCAAUGUCACAACAGCUCUCCUAUGUGUCUAUCCAAAAGCACAGACAUGACAGGCAAUUUGUUCAGCAAUCAAAAAGGAAGCCACCACCAGCGUUACCCCCACACAUCCCUGGAGAGUAUGAAGAGAAAAUCAGAGUCAUUGCACUCUAUGAUUUUUUUGCCAAAGGACCCUGUGACUUAACACUCAGGAAAUCAGAAGAAUACAUUAUCCUUGAGAAGUAUGACCCCCACUGGUGGAAGGCAAGAGACCAGUACGGUAAUGAAGGCCUAAUUCCCAGCAAUUAUGUAACUGAGAACGAGCGAAAUAAUUUAGAAGCAUAUGAGUGGUACUGUAAAAACAUAACCAGAAAUCAGGCAGAACUUCUACUAAGGCAGGAGUCCAAAGAAGGGGCAUUUAUGGUCAGAGAUUCAAGUCAAAAGGGAGCCCUCACAAUGUCUGUGUAUUCACGAUCCAGUGGAAGCCACAGUGGAAAUAUCCGACAUUAUCAAAUUAAGCAAAACCAUUCAGAACAGUAUUAUGUAGCAGAAAAGCACCUCUUUCCAUCCAUUCCUGAACUCAUCCAGUAUCACCAGCAUAAUGCAGCAGGUCUCAUCACUCGCCUCCGACAUCCAAUUGGAUCAAUGGGAAGUUGUUUACCAGCAACGGCAGGAUUUAGUUAUGAGAAGUGGAAGAUAAACCCAUCUGAGCUGACUUUCAUGAAAGAAGUUGGGCGUGGCCAGUUUGGAAUAGUUCAUCUGGGUAAAUGGAGAGCACUUGUCAAAGUUGCCAUUAAGGCGAUCAAUGAAGGUGCAAUGUCUGAAGAUGAUUUCAUUGAGGAAGCCAAAGUCAUGAUGAAAUUAUCCCACCCAAAGCUGGUACAGCUUUAUGGAGUGUGCAUACAGAACAAGCCUCUCUACAUAGUGACCGAGUUCAUGGAAAAUGGCUGCCUGCUCAAUUACCUUCGGCAAAGACAGGGGAGGCUUAACAAAGAAAUGCUACUAAGCAUGUGCCAGGAUGUCUGUGAAGGGAUGGAGUAUCUAGAACGAAAUAGAUUUAUUCAUCGUGAUUUAGCUGCAAGGAACUGUUUAGUCAAUGCCAAGAAUAUAGUUAAAAUAUCUGACUUUGGAAUGACAAGAUAUGUUCUAGAUGAUGAAUAUAUCAGCUCUUCAGGUACCAAAUUUCCAGUCAAAUGGUCAUCUCCUGAAGUUUUUCAUUUCAACAAGUACAGCAGCAAGUCUGAUGUCUGGUCAUUUGGAGUUUUAAUGUGGGAAGUUUUUACAGAGGGCAAAAUGCCUUUUGAAAAUAAGUCAAAUUCUGAAGUUGUCCAUGAGAUUUCCGAAGGUUACAGACUUUAUCAACCAUAUCUGGCAUCACUCACUGUGUACAAAAUCAUGUACAGCUGCUGGCAUGAGAAACCUGCAGGUCGCCCUGCUUUUGCUGAGUUACUCCAGACCCUCACAGAUAUAGCCGAGACUGGAUAAUCAGACUUUCCAUACAUAUGUAUUCUCAUUGCAGAGAUAGCACGAAGUCCCUCAUGUGAUACUAUAAGUAAUUUAGUAUGGGCUGAAUUGAAGAACAGGACAGUGAGAUUCCAAAAUGGCAUGACCAGAUGGAAAAACAUCUCCACUUAAAGAGAUAAGUAACCCUACUAGCUUUCUACUAUUUAGCAGAACUUCUUGAAUCUCUUUUGAGCAAGACUGUUCCCUAAUGUCUAGCCAUGGAGCAUCCAUACAUUAAAUGAAGAGUGUGCAGGCUUGGGUGGAAUAGACAACCAUGAUUUUGGGACAUUAGGUCCGAGCCCAGUAAAAGUGAAAUUGGAGGUUUCACAGACCAUGCCAGGAGAGUGGCAAACCAGUGUUGACAGGCCCAUGCUGGGGCUAUGAGUAUGACUCUGGCCUGGUCUCCUCUUAUCUUCAGUAAUACCUUGUGAAUGAGUGGAAUUGGUGGGAAAGCAUAGAGGAGCCUGUCUGACCAUGGUAAUAAGAAUGCAUCUGUCAAGGAACCCAGGCUGUGACCACAUAGAGAACAGAACUGCUGACACUUUCUGUUGAUCCUUGUUGCAGGUAGUCUAUCUGGGGAGACUCCCACCAUUCGAAGGUGAAUCUAGCCGCAUCCAAGCAAAAAGACCACUUGUGGUGACUCAUAAAUGAUCUGCUCAGGUCCUGAUGAGCAGGGCAAAGUGGGAUCACAAUGUAUCUGCUGAGGCUGACAGUGCUUUCUGACUCCAGGAUUUCAAGGUCACUCAUGAGUCCUUAAGGCCAAGGAAAAUGCUAUCUAUCUGCUCUGAGAACAGAGAAGGACCCUCAAAAGGCAAGUCCUGCAUAGUAAUCUGGUCUGCAUAGAGUAGACCAGAAGACUGCAGCUAUGAGGAUCUGUGCAUGGAGACCGCAGAAGCCAGGGUCCUGGCAGCUGAGUUGGCAGCACCCAGCCCAGCCUUCAAUGAAGUCCCCACCACUAAUCUGCCUUCGUUCACCCAUGAACAGAAUUGCUGCCUCACAUUCGCAGGGAGCAGAUCUUUUAAUUUCUCCAGUGGUCCCCACAAAUUAAAAUCAUAAUGCCCCAGUAGAGCCUGGUGGUUGGCAAUUCUAAGCUGCAAUCCCCCCGUCAAAUAAACUUUUCUACCAAAUAAAUCCAGUUCUUUUGCCUCUUUUGAUUUGGGGGUCACAGCACGGUGCCUCCGGCGUGCCCUCUCAUUAGCUACUGUGACCACUAGUGACCCUGGAGGACCUCAGGUGAUGAGAGGAGUCCCUGACCUCCUUGACCCAAAUGCAAAAGUCCAUAAAGUCACUCUUUAACAAUUCCUGAUAAAUCUUUUAGUUGUCAGGAGGGGGUGAUGUUGUCUCUGAGGAAACCACCUCAUCCAGAGAGGACAAAGGUGAAGAUAAAACUGGUUGUGGUUGAACCUCUUCUGCAGAAGGCUUCUUCCUGAUGCUCGGCUCUGGGACCAGUACCGGACAUUGGGGUCAGGGCAGCUUGAUGCAAGGACUCACCCCAUCUGGACUAGGGCACUUUGUAGGAAUGACAAGGGGAGGAUCUAGAAGCUGGGGGAAACUCUUUGUGGUUCCAAAAGAGCCACUGAAAGGGGCCAGACCACAGUGACCUCCUGGCCACAUUCCCCUCGAAGCUCCGAUUGUGCAGUUGCGAGGGUACCUGGAGAGGAAGGAUCUAGGUGUGGAGUGGCAGGUCCUAUUCAGAGGUUGAGACACAUAUGAUCCCAUCUCAGAAUCCGAUGAAGACAACUCCCUUUCUGUCAACCACGGGGACUAGUUCUGAAAGCCUGGUGAUGGCUGGAGACACAUUGCUGUUUUUCUCUUAGAUGGUACCAGUGGACAGACUGUCCAGGAAGUAGGCAGCUGGUGUGGUAUCAAGUGCUGCACUGCAGUUGUUGGUGUUGGAUGGUCUAAUAAUACCAAGGGAGCCGAUUCCUGUACAAUUAGCAAUACUGGCACUGACGAGUAAAUUCCUUGCCACUGUAAAUGACUCUGGCAUAGCUGGCAGCAAAAUUGAAUCUGAUCGAUGCAGAGCCACUGAUGCUGACAGUUCCGUUUCUGGAACCAGACUCAAUGAUGCCUGUUUCGGCACUGGAUUCAAUGGUGCCGUCUUAGGCACUAAUUUGGAGGAGUGCCUCGAUCUCGGUUGCACUCUACUUGACUCCCUUUUGCCGCCCUUUCCUGACUUGUGGGGUGGAGAUCUUCCUCUUGAUGGUGCCUUUGUGGAAGGCUUAUGCUACUUUCUCAGCACAGGCGAGGGUAACCAGUGCCAGGACUCCCAACAGUCUUGAAGGCACACUUCUGACUGAAACUGCAGCACUCGGCCCCAUCUCAGACCAGCACAACUCCCAGUGUGCUCUCAGCGCUGCCUCAAUUAGCAGGAGCUUCAGCCUAGCCUCCCUAUCUUUUUUCAUCCUGGCCUUGAAGUCCCAACAAAUCCGGCACUAGUCCUUCAUGUGUGCUGUGCCUAGGCACUUAAAAUAACUGCCAUGUGGGUGGCUCACAGGCAUAGGGUUUGAGUAGGAAGCACAUGGUUUGAAGUCCAGUGAUCGAGGCAGGCCCCAGAAUGGGCAACAGAACCCCAAAAUAGGAAAAAAACAAACAUUUUGCUUUUACCUACUAAAACUAACCUACAACUAGACUGUGUACACAAAGGCUGAGAGAAAACUGCUCUAGCAAUUGACAGAGGUUCCAGUGACUGUCCUAGGCAGUAAGAAGGAACAGAGGGGGAGGGGCCAGCUCUGCGCUUUAUACCUUCACGCAGUGGUGCAGGGGGCACUUAAGCCACCCAACAGGUACUGCUGAGGGAAAAACUUUCUGUCAGUUAUGUGCUGGACGCACAGACACCAAGAAUGGAAUGCACAUGUGCAGUCACUCAAAGAUAAGAAUGAUCUUUGCAGCAUCAUUCUGAGUGAGCACAACUGCAUUUAUGAAGGUCACAGAGAAGGAUGUUGCAGUAAUUCAGACUAUUAUUAUUUUUACUCUCCUACCCCAAAUGACUAUCACAUUCUUGCAGAGUCCAAUUCUUUCAGCACUUCUUGUUGCUCUGGCCUUUAAUCCUUCACCUUUACUGUCCCAUCCAGAAAAAUCUCUUGAAAUAUUUAGUACCUCAUGCGGAAACUAGUAUGUAAAGUCUGAUUGUGCAACCCAUAUUAAUGGUUAGUAGUACCUUAGUGACUCAUCCCAUUUUCUUCAAUGAGACGUCUCACAGCAUAAGAUAUUACUCAACAUGCAUAAAUUUUGAAGAAUCUGACCCUUCAGAGGGAUUUUUUUCAGUUUUCAUAUAGAGCCCAAACUAAUACAAUUAUUCUUUUUGUUGUUAUUAGAGAGAUUAAUUUCACAACCAUUAGCAAAUCACAGAGUUGAAAUUCUGAUCUGGAUAUAAUGAAUGAUGCACAGACUCAAUCUGCAUAGAUAAUGCAUCUUUGACUGCCUCACCUGGACUCUACCUACUAAUCAGGUUCUCACAUCACAUGUUCUAAGAUUUCAAACUAUUAAACGUCUUCAAAUACCCACCAACAAUCACUCAGAGAAAGUAGCGUUAUUUUUGUCAUGAAAGAGAGCAGAUACACAGACAAAGCAUUUUCCCAGAUGGAAUCUUUUUGUCAUUGCCUGCCUAUGUUUCUAAACUUUUCUCAGGAUAUUAGGUAUUAUUCUGGUCUUCAUUGGAUGUCUGUUUCUCUCUCUCUCUCUCUCUCUCUCUCUCUGUUCAGACCAUGUCAUUCCUUUCUAGGAGUCCCUUUCCUGACUUCUUCCAUAUUAAAUUCAAGCUCCUUAUUGUCAAGGCUUCACACAGCUUCACUUCAGCCUACACAUCAGAUCUUGGAUCCUUCUAUCCUCAUUCUUGUGUUGUAUGCUUCAUCUGCCCCUCUCACGAGUCUGCUCCAUUAAUAUCCUGCCUGUGCUCAUGACUUCGUGCCUUUUUCAUAUUGCACUCUAUGCUUGGAAUAGACUAAACCCCUCCUUUUCAUCAAGUGCCAUCCUCUCUCUCCCUUCCAACUAAUUUCUUUCAGCUUCUGAUCAUUACUUAUGUUACAACAUUCCACUUCUUCUCUUACCCAUGAGUAUAUCAAAGAGGGAGGGAAAUUGCAAAGCAACCAUGAUGUCCCUAGCCUCUCUUUGCUAGAAGCUGGGAGUGGGUGACAGGGGAUGGAUCACUUGAUUAUCUGUUCUGUUCAUUCCCUCUGGGGCACCUGGCAUUGGCCACUGUCAGAAGACAGGAUACUGGGUUAGAUGGACUUCUGGUCUGACCCAGUAUGGCCAUUCUUAUGUUAUGUUCAUCCACAAUUUAUCUGUAAGAAGAAAAGCUUGAAAACCCAGCUCUACAUUAAACAAUGUUACCAACAAAAGCAGGUUUUCCUUCUCUCUUGGUUUUCUAUUGUCUCUCUCCUCCUCAUUGUCUGUCAAUUAUUCAUUUGAUUUAGAUUGUAAGAUCUUUGGGUCAGGGACCUCGCCUUGUUACUUGUCUGUAAUCAUCCCACAUAUGUUGCUUACCACAUAGUUUUCAGGACAAAUUCGGGGGUGGGGGGGGAACUGACGUGGUCUGUGUAUAUAAUGUUUGCAGUAACUUCCAUUCAGUAUAAUCUGCAAGUUUGAUUAGCAUGUGCCUCUCCUCUCCCUCUAACUGAAUAGUGAUCACUGCAGCCCCCCACUUGAUGCAUCCCACAAACAUGCUACAAUGCCAUUUACCUUUUGUUUGUGGUUAUUUAACCAGUGUUCAUUGUGUGUGUCAGUGGAACCAUACUUAUCCUGUCCUUACAUGGUCCACAUCACCAUGCCAUCUGUGUGUCCUUGUGCUGGUGAAUGUUAUUGUAACAAUAUAAAAGGCAGUAGCCAGCCUGGCAUGAUGGAAUGAUAACUUAGUGAAGCAAGUUUUACAGUAUGUACUAAUAAAAAGUAAGUUGUUGACUCAUUCUGAA